UACAGAGACCUCAAGCGUUAUCCGGAAUCAUUGGGCGUAAAGCGUACCGAUAGGGGGUUUUACAAGUCAGAAGUGAAAUCUUAAGGCUUAACCUUGAGUCUGUCUUUUGAAACUGUAAAACUAGAGGGGCAAAGAGGAAGCUGGAACGAACGGUGUAGUAGCGAAAUGCGUUGAUAUCGUUCGGAACACCAAUAGCGUAGGCAAGCUUCUGGGUGCCACCUGACACUGCUAGGACGAAAGCGUGGGUAGCGAAUGGG
Molecule: ribosomal RNA, 257 nt
Filed under: uncultured bacterium
Lineage: Bacteria
Description: partial 16S ribosomal RNA
Rfam family: Bacterial small subunit ribosomal RNA
Source: RNAcentral